RNAcentral lists this long non-coding RNA (279 nucleotides) under Phoenix dactylifera (date palm). RNAcentral describes it as "long non-coding RNA (PDAC_LNC007260)". The record is from RNAcentral. Lineage: Eukaryota; Viridiplantae; Streptophyta; Magnoliopsida; Arecales; Arecaceae.
GUUUGACUCCAUUGUUUUAGAACUCUGUGUACCUAGGAUGUCUAGUUGGGAUUGAUAGCUUCAUUUUUAUGUGCGAACCAUUCUGGACAAUUAACAUGUGAUAUUCAGAAAAUUUAGUGGGUCGGGAUCUAACAAAUGGUAGUUAACACUUGUGAAUUUGAGUAGUGCACCUAGAACUCAAGCGGUACCCAAUUGUGGUGGAGGUAUAGGUAUUCUGAGACGUCACAUUUACAUUUGCCUUAAGGGUUGCUAUGUUUUAGAGUAUCUUUUAACUUAAAA